RNAcentral lists this ribosomal RNA (465 nucleotides) under uncultured bacterium. RNAcentral's name for it is "partial 16S ribosomal RNA". It matches the Rfam family "Bacterial small subunit ribosomal RNA", at positions 28 to 507 of the family's 1533-position model. The record is from RNAcentral.
GACGAACGCUGGCGGCGUGCUUAACACAUGCAAGUCGAACGGAAAGGCCCUGCUUGCAGGGUACUCGAGUGGCGAACGGGUGAGUAACACGUGGGUGAUCUGCCCUGCACUUCGAGAUAAGCCUGGGAAACUGGGUCUAAUACCGGAUAGGAGCCAUUUUGAGUGUGAUGGUUGGAAAGUUUUUUCGGUGUAGGAUGAGCUCGCGGCCUAUCAGCUUGUUGGUGGGGUAAUGGCCUACCAAGGCGGCGACGGGUAGCCGGCCUGAGAGGGUGGACGGCCACAUUGGGACUGAGAUACGGCCCAGACUCCUACGGGAGGCAGCAGUGGGGAAUAUUGCACAAUGGGCGCAAGCCUGAUGCAGCGACGCCGCGUGGGGGAUGACGGCCUUCGGGUUGUAAACUCCUUUCGCUAGGGACGAAGCUUUUUGUGACGGUACCUAGAGAAGAAGCACCGGCUAACUACGUG